Molecule: ribosomal RNA, 467 nt
Filed under: uncultured bacterium
Lineage: Bacteria
Description: partial 16S ribosomal RNA
Rfam family: Bacterial small subunit ribosomal RNA
Source: RNAcentral
GAUGAACGCUGGCGGCGUGCUUAACACAUGCAAGUCGAACGGUGAAGCAGAGCUUGCUCUGUGGAUCAGUGGCGAACUGGUGAGUAACACGUGAGCAACCUGCCCCUGACUCUGGGAUAAGCGCUGGAAACGGCGUCUAAUACUGGAUAUGAGCUGCGACCGCCUGGUCAGCAGUUGGAAAGAUUUUUCGGUCUGGGAUGGGCUCACGGCCUAUCAGCUUGUUGGUGAGGUAAUGGCUCACCAAGGCGUCGACGGGUAGCCGGCCUGAGAGGGUGACCGGCCACAAUGGGACUGAGACACGGCCCAGACGCCAACGGGAGGCAGCAGUGGGGAAUAUUGCACAAUAGGCGAAAGCCGGAUGCAGCAACGCCGCGUGAGGGAUGACGGCCUUCGGGUUGUAAACCUCUUUUAGCAGGGAAGAAGCGAAAGUGACGGUACCUGCAGAAAAAGCGCCGGCUAACUACGUG